This 745-nucleotide long non-coding RNA is filed under the name Suricata suricatta (meerkat). RNAcentral describes it as "lncRNA (ENSSSUG00005019841.1)". Lineage: Eukaryota; Metazoa; Chordata; Mammalia; Carnivora; Herpestidae. The record is from RNAcentral.
GGCGGGCCUGGGAGGAAGUCUGCAGCCCUGGGCUGCCGAGGGUGUGGCGUCUGUGUUUGCACCUUUGGAAUGCAGCUGAUUCACUCUGGGGGGAGCCUUGUGCAGCCACCGCUGCCGCCUUGGAGCUGACAUCUGGCGGCUGAAUUCCAGGAGGAGAGAGACAGAUUCCUGCAAGCAGAUGCCAACUCUGAAGGUCAAACUAAGCUAUGGAGCUGCUUUAGGAGGAGGCCCAGAGUCCACCACAGCCCCACCCCAGGAUUCGGGGAGAGAGGUCUGGGACCAGCCAUUCCCCUGCCUCUUCUGGAUGCUGCUCUCAGCCGGAUCUCCUUGCUUUCCUGGGAGUCCCGGGGCCGCCUUUCUUGGAUUUAGUACAUAGACCCCCGUUCACCUGCUGGUGAACUUUGCUUUUUCCAUGUGGCAUGGCGGGUAAGUGUGCCAAUCAGACAAGCCCAGGUUCAAGUCUGCUCUGGCACUGACUGUGUGGCUUUGGGCAACUUUCUUUCUUUCUUUCCUUUCUUUCUUGUUUGUUUAUUUUUUGAGAGAGAGAGACAGAUUGCCCGUGGAGGGGGGGCCAGUGAGAGAAGGGAUACGGAAUCCCAAGCAGGCUCCAGGCUCUGAGCUGUCAGCACAGAGCCCGACACGGGGCUCAAACCCACAAACUGCGAAAUUAUGACUUGAGCCAAAGUUGGACACUUAACUGACUGAGCCACCCAGGCGCCUCUUCGGACAACUUUCUGAACUUCCC